UACGGUCGCGCCUGGCAAUGGGGAAAGCCCGUCAGGUGAGGAAAGUCCGGGCUUCGCAGGGCAGGAUACCGGAUAACGUCCGGCAGGGGUAACCCUCGGGAUAGCGCAACAGAAAACAACCGCCGCGCAAGCGGUAAGGGUGAAAAGGCAGUGUAAGAGACUACCGCCGACCUGGUAACAGGAAGGGUCAAUGCAAGCCCUAUCCGAAGCAAGACCGAAUAGAAGCAAUACGGCUGCCCGUCGUGCUUCAGGUGGGUCGCUAGAGCCGUCUGGCAACAGGCGGUCCAGAUAGAUGACCGUACAACGACAUAACCCGGCUUAUCGCUCUGCCG
RNAcentral lists this RNase P RNA (332 nucleotides) under bovine gut metagenome. RNAcentral's name for it is "Bacterial RNase P class A". It matches the Rfam family "Bacterial RNase P class A". Rfam says of the family: Ribonuclease P (RNase P) is a ubiquitous endoribonuclease, found in archaea, bacteria and eukarya as well as chloroplasts and mitochondria. The record is from RNAcentral.